Schizosaccharomyces pombe (fission yeast) is the source of this 200-nucleotide non-coding RNA. The record is from the annotation of a GenBank genome assembly. NCBI's taxonomy places the organism in Eukaryota, Fungi, Ascomycota, Schizosaccharomycetes, Schizosaccharomycetales, Schizosaccharomycetaceae.
CAUACUAAAAGGGAUCAACCAGCAACGACAGAUGAAAAGAAAAGGACGACCAAAAGACAACCUUUUACAAACAAACGAUAUAAGACACUACACCUAGAAUGUUGGGAGAGGUGAGAUGCGAGCGAGGGAAUCACAAACAAGGUAGAAAUAACAAACAAGCUACAAUCAAAUCAAUCAGCACAAUAAACCAAGCUACGAAA